GGGUCAGUAGGUUGGUCGUGCCACCGGUACGUACUGGUCUCACUGAUUCCUCCUUCCUGAAGAACCGUAAUGCCAUUAAUUUGGUGUUGCGGGGAAACAGGACUGUCACUUUGAAAAAAUUAGAGUGUUUAAAGCAAGCUGACGCUUGAAUACAUUAGCAUGGAAUAAUGAAAUAGGACGAUCGAUCCUAUUUUGUUGGUUUCUAGGAUUGACGUA
RNAcentral lists this ribosomal RNA (216 nucleotides) under Glomeromycotina sp. RNAcentral describes it as "partial small subunit ribosomal RNA". The stretch from base 40 to 216 matches the Rfam family "Eukaryotic small subunit ribosomal RNA", at positions 686 to 864 of the family's 1831-position model. The record is from RNAcentral. Lineage: Eukaryota; Fungi; Glomeromycota.